This 292-nucleotide ribosomal RNA is filed under the name uncultured bacterium. RNAcentral describes it as "partial 16S ribosomal RNA". It matches the Rfam family "Bacterial small subunit ribosomal RNA", at positions 505 to 796 of the family's 1533-position model. The record is from RNAcentral.
GUGUCAGCCGCCGCGGUAAUACGGAGGGUGCGAGCGUUGUUCGGAAUCACUGGGCGUAAAGCGCGUGUAGGCGGUCUCCUAAGUCUGGUGUGAAAGCCCGGGGCUUACCCCCGGAAGUGCACUGGAAACUGGGAGACUGGAGUACCGGAGAGGAAGGUGGAAUUCCUGGUGUAGCGGUGAAAUGCGUAGAUAUCAGGAGGAACACCGGUGGCGAAGGCGGCCUUCUGGACGGAUACUGACGCUGAGACGCGAAAGCGUGGGGAGCAAACAGGAUUAGAUACCCCUGUAGUCC